RNAcentral lists this ribosomal RNA (329 nucleotides) under uncultured eukaryote. RNAcentral describes it as "partial 18S ribosomal RNA". It matches the Rfam family "Eukaryotic small subunit ribosomal RNA", at positions 1470 to 1796 of the family's 1831-position model. The record is from RNAcentral.
CCCUUAGAUGUUCUGGGCCGCACGCGCGCUACACUGAUGCAUUCAACGAGUCUAAAACCUGCUCUGAUAGGGGUGGGUAAUCUUUUGAAUGUGCAUCGUGAUUGGGAUAGAUGAUUGCAAUUUUUCAUCUUCAACGAGGAAUGCCUAGUAAACGCAAGUCAUCAGCUUGCAUUGAUUACGUCCCUGCCCUUUGUACACACCGCCCGUCGCUCCUACCGAUUGAAUGAUCCGAUGAAUAUCAUGGAUUGAGGAUGCAAGCAGGUUCGCCUGUCUUCAUCUUCGAGAAGUGAAGUAAAUCUUAUCAUUUAGAGGAAGGAGAAGUCGUAACG